Homo sapiens (human) is the source of this 527-nucleotide long non-coding RNA. RefSeq lists it as uncharacterized. NCBI's taxonomy places the organism in Eukaryota, Metazoa, Chordata, Mammalia, Primates, Hominidae. The transcript is spliced from 2 exons. The record is from RefSeq and is a predicted model, not a curated record.
UGAGCCACCGCUCCCGGCCACAGUAUAUGUAUUUUAAGCACCAGUUUGUUGUUUACCAGACGAACAUGAGAACAGCACAGACCCACUUCCCUCCAGACGUCCAAAUGGCUGUGUAUGUUUCAGGGACAACCAAGAUGAGACAGACUGACGCAUUUGGAGUCAAAGACUGCUCAAUGGGUUCUUUUGGGACAGAGGUAUAUCUAGUCUCUCCAUGAUAAGGAAUCUGAGCCUCCAAGAGUUGUAGUGACAUGUUCAAGCCACAUGGUUAGUGAGAAGCAGAGAAAGGACCUAAGGUCAGAGCAAUCUUAAGCAGGUCCUCUGUGGUCAUGGUUAGUGUGGUUUGCUUCCAGGCCAGACCAUUUCCUUGCUGAUGCAAGAUUCUCCAGAGCUCUCCUUUUCCCCCGGGAAGUGGUGAUUGGCUGCUCCAUCAGCCUGUGUCCUUGAGUGACUGUGCUGGGCAGAAUGCCCUGCCAGCCUGAGAGGGACCUGUGGUGUAGAACAUGAAAUAAAAACCUUUGUGGUUUUCA